Molecule: ribosomal RNA, 468 nt
Filed under: uncultured bacterium
Lineage: Bacteria
Description: partial 16S ribosomal RNA
Rfam family: Bacterial small subunit ribosomal RNA
Source: RNAcentral
GACGAACGCUGGCGGCGUGCUUAACACAUGCAAGUCGAACGGAAAGACCCUGCUUUUGUGGGGUGCUCGAGUGGCGAACGGGUGAGUAACACGUGAGUAUCCUGCCCUUGUCUUUGGGAUAACUUCAGGAAACUGGGGCUAAUACCGGAUAGGAGCUCCUGCUGCAUGGUGGGGGUUGGAAAGUUUCGGCGGUUGGGGAUGGACUCGCGGCUUAUCAGCUUGUUGGUGGGGUAGUGGCUGACCAAGGCUUUGACGGGUAGCCGGCCUGAGAGGGUGACCGGCCUCAUUGCUACUGAGAUACGGCCCAGACUCCUACGGUAGGCAGCAGGGGGGAAUAUGGCACAAUGGGCGGAAGCCUGAUGCAGCAACGUCGCGUGCGUGAUGACGUCCUUCGGGUUGUAAACCGCUGUCGCCUGUGACGAAGCGUGAGUGACGGUAAUGGGUAAAGAAGCACCGGCUAACUACGUG